This 274-nucleotide ribosomal RNA is filed under the name uncultured bacterium. Its description in RNAcentral is "partial 16S ribosomal RNA". It matches the Rfam family "Bacterial small subunit ribosomal RNA", at positions 523 to 796 of the family's 1533-position model. The record is from RNAcentral.
AGACGAACCGUCCAAACGUUAUUAGGAAUUACCGGGCUUAAAGGGUGCGUAGGCGGCGCGGUAAGUUGGGUGUGAAAUCCCUCGGCUCAACCGAGGAAUGGCGCCCAAUACUGCCGUGCUCGAGGGAGACAGAGGUGAGCGGAACUGAUGGUGGAGCGGUGAAAUGCGUUGAUAUCAUCAGGAACACCAGUGGCGAAGGCGGCUCACUGGGUCUCUUCUGACGCUGAGGCACGAAAGCUAGGGGAGCAAACGGGAUUAGAAACCCCAGUAGUCC